Molecule: ribosomal RNA, 182 nt
Filed under: uncultured bacterium
Lineage: Bacteria
Description: partial 16S ribosomal RNA
Rfam family: Bacterial small subunit ribosomal RNA
Source: RNAcentral
CAUGAAGUCGGAAUCGCUAGUAAUCGCGAGUCAGCAUAUCGCGGUGAAUACGUUCCCGGGUCUUGUACACACCGCCCGUCACACCAUGGGAGUUGGCAACACCCGAAGUCGAUGAGCUAACCGUAAGGAGGCAGUCGCCUAAGGUGGGGUUGAUAACUGGGGUGAAGUCGUAACAAGGUAUC